UACGUAGGAUCCGAGCAUUAUCCGGAGUGACUGGGUGUAAAGAGUUGCGUAGGUGGCAUAAUAAGUAGCUAGUGAAAUCUGGUGGCUCAACCAUUCAGACUAUUAGCUAAACUGUUAAGCUCGAGACCGUUAGGGGUAACUGGAAUUUCUAGUGUAGGGUUGAAAUCCGUAGAGAUCAAGAGGAAUACUCAUUGCGAAGGCGACCUGCUAGAACAUAACUGACGCUGAUGCGCGAAAGCGUGGGGAGCAAACAGG
Molecule: ribosomal RNA, 255 nt
Filed under: uncultured bacterium
Lineage: Bacteria
Description: partial 16S ribosomal RNA
Rfam family: Bacterial small subunit ribosomal RNA
Source: RNAcentral